UUAAGACCUAACCGUGUGGCAGGCGCUGUGCAAAGGUCUUCAUCUAUAUUAACUUAUUUGAUUCUCCCAGCAACCCUGGCAAGUAUGUGAUGUUGCCUUACUGGUAAAACUAAGGGCUGGGCAGCGGAGGAACUCUGGCAGGAGUGAAGGGAAAGCCAGCCUUCUCCCUGGCCGGACGCCACGGACAGCACUCCUGACUGCUGAGCACACAACGACCCAGAUGGCUGCAGGGAAAGUCAGCCCCGUCUACACAGACCAGCACCUUACGAAGAAUGUUUCAGUCCUGGUCGAUAAAGACACCACUAAAGUUUUACCAACUGUCCAAAUGUCCUCAAGUCAAGGCAUAAACAACUAAAAAACUUGGGAAAAAUACAGAUUUAACAGUUUUUAGACAGUGGAUGAGAAGUAACACAAGACAGUAAGCCUGAGAGAGAAGGAAAAAAAAGGUAAGACCUGCGAUUGCCCAGCCCACGGCCUGGAGAGCCCAGAGAAGAGCCCUUCUCUUGUCUGAGAAGACAAGAGUUGGGAGCUCAGAGAGGCAAAGGGGCCGGAGGGCCCAGGACAGAUGAAGGGAAAGGACUGUGCAACACUAAGCCUUCAGAGCCCCUCACCCUGUCUUCAGCUGAGACCUGGUCAGCACAUCAUGGGCUAAGAUCACCCGGACCAGGGAGAAGCAAAUGGAGUACUCUCCAGAACUCACACAGGGCAGGGACAGCCUCCUCACUGGCCAGAGUGAAAGCCCUCCAUGAACACACAGGACAUCCUAACUAAGGGUGUCGCCUCAAUAGUGGGGCAAAAUGAGCCUAGAACAAGAGCUGCUUGGUGCCACCCUAACAAACACUGAAAGGAUGAAACCAUUUUCAAGUAACUUAACAGUAACAAACUUCCACAACGAAGUUCAAAAAAUGUUUCAUGAAUCAAAGAUACCUAGUAUCAAAUAAAGAAAAACUCACAAUGGCAGAUGUAUAGUAAAAAGUUACCAGGAUGGCAAAUAAGAAAGAAAAUACAAUCCAUCAUGGGGAGAAGAAUAAGCCAUUAAAAGUCAAAUAAAAUGACACUGAUUAGUACACAAGAAUACUGUCUACUGAAAAAGACUAACGUAGAAUAACAAGAUUCUGUGUGUUCAAGAUGGGAAAACAUGAAAAUGUUGAGGGGAGACUAGAAGACUUUUUAAAGACAAAAUCAAAGACCUAGGGACAAAAAUGCAAUGUCUUAUAUAUUAAAAAAAAAAAAUCUCAGAGGAUAGAAUUAAUAGCACAUUUUGAAGAUAUAUCAACUGAAACAAAUGAGAAUGAAACACAGCGGGUGUCAACAGAGAACCAGUGAGCUAUGAACAACUUUGAGCAGCUUAAUAGACACACAGCUGAGUCUCCAAAGGAGAAGAUAAAGAAGAAAGGGUAGAAAAGCAUGUCUGAGAAAAUAGGAACCAAAAAAUUCCAGGUUUAGCAAAAACUUAUUCUUAAAAUAAAAACUAUUUAAAAAACAUGACACCAAGCCACACAUCAUGAUCAACAUUCUUACACACUUUAAUAAAGAAAAAUCACUUAAAAGCAGCCAGGAAAAAAAAUGAAGACUUUUGGAGAGAGGAGUACAGCUAAGAAUGACAGCAGACUUUUCAUUGGAAACAAUACAAGAGAAAUAAGUGGAACAACCUCUAUAUUUUUUAAAAGAAAUCUGCAGACCUAGUGAAAAUAUCUUCCAAACAUCAAAGCAAAAAGAAGGAAUUUUCAGAUGUAUAUAAACUGAUAUGGGAAGAGCAUGGUGGUCCUCAAAAAUUAAAAACAGAAUUACUAUAUGAUCUGCAAUAUCAGUUCUAGGUAUAGACUCCAAAAAUGUGGAAAUGGGAACUUGGACAGAUACUUGUAUAUCCAUGUUCAAAGCAGCAUUACUCAAAAGACCCAAAAUCUGGAAGCUACUCAAGCUUUCAUUAAUGGAUGAAUGGGAAAACAAAAUGUGGUAUAGGCAUACAACGGAAUAUUUUUCAGCCUUGAAAAGAAAGGAAAACAUGACAAUAUAGACGAACCUCAAUGACACUGUGCUAAGUGAAAUAAGUUAGUCACAAAAAGAAAUACCGUAUGAUCCCCCUUAUGAGGUUCUUAGAGAAAUCAAAUCCCUAGAGACAAAAACAGAAUGGUGGUUGCCUGAGACAGACCGAAGUGGGCACAGGCAGUUGUUUAAUGGGUAGCAAGUUUCAGUUUUGCAAGAUGAGUUCUGGACUUGGCUUCACAAAUGUCAAUGCACUGAACCUGACAGAACUGUUCAAUUAAAAUUAGUGAAGAUGCUAAAUUUCAUGUUACAUGUAUAUUUCACUACAUUAAAAAAAUAAAUAAAAUGAGGUUUUCAAAAAAUAAAAAGCUACAAGGAUUCGUUAGCAGCAGACAUUCACUACAAGAACUGUGAGAGAAGACUAAUGCACAAAAGACAAGAAAGGUCAUACACCAGGAGGUAACAACAAUGAAACUCAACAUGGGCUCCCAGUUGAAUCCUAGAAUGGAAGAAGGACAUUAGGGGGAAAACGUGGACUUUCUGUGAGCUAUCGCUUAGUUAAUAGUAUUAUAUCCAUGUUAAUUACACUAAGUAAAUGUUAGCAUUAAAGAAAGCUGGAUGUAAA
Non-coding RNA from Ictidomys tridecemlineatus (thirteen-lined ground squirrel), 2611 nucleotides. The record is from RefSeq and is a predicted model, not a curated record. Lineage: Eukaryota; Metazoa; Chordata; Mammalia; Rodentia; Sciuridae.